ACUAGGGUGAGAAAUCGUCCGACGCCCUGGAGCGGUUGGAAGCGAUAGAACGGUUAGUGGCGGACGGGUGAGUAACACGUGGGUCAUCAACCCCUUAGAGGGGGACAACUGAUCGAAAGGUCAGCUAAUACCGCAUGACGUCUGUUUCGGCAGACGAAAGGAGCUUCGGCUCCGCUGAGGGAUGAGCCCGCGCCGAUUAGCUAGUUGGUGAGGUAAAGGCUCACCAAGGCGACGAUCGGUAGCUGGUCUGAGAGGAUGAUCAGCCACACUGGGACUGAGACACGGCCCAGACAACUACGGUUGGCAGCAGUAAGGGAUAUUGCACAAUGGGCGAAAGCCUGAUGCAGCGACGCCGCGUGAGCGAUGAAGGCCUUCGGGUCGUAAAGCUCUUUUCUGUGGGAAGAGGAAGGACGGUACCUCAGGAAUAAGUCUCGGCUAACUACGUGCCAGCAGCCGCGGUAAAACGUAGGAGGCGAGCGUUAUCCGGAUUCAUUGGGCGUAAAGGGCAAGUAGGCGGUUGUCAAAGUUGGGCGUGACAUCUCUCGGCUUAACUGAGAGGGAGCGCACGAAACUAGGCGACUAGAGGGCAGGAGAGGGUGGCGGAACUCCUAGUGUAGCGGUGGAAUGCUCAGAUACUAGGAAGAACACCAGUGGCGAAGGCGGCCACCUGGUCUGUACCUGACGCUGAGAGGCGAAAGCUAGGGGAGCGAACGGGCUUAGAUACCCCGGUAGUCCUAGCCGUAAACGGUGGAUACUAGGUAUUGGGGGCGAUAAAGCCUCAAGUGCCGAAGCAAACGCGUUAAGUAUCCCGCCUGGGGACUACGGCCGCAAGGUUAAAACUCAAAGGAAUUGACGGGGACCCGCACAAGCAGCGGAGCGUGUGAUUUAAUUCGAUUAACACGAAGAACCUUACCUGGGCUUGACAUGUACGUAGUAGGGAACCGAAAGGGGACCGAGCCUUCGGGCAGCGUACACAGGUGCUGCAUGGCUGUCGUCAGCUCGUGCCGUGAGGUGUUGGGUUAAGUCCCGCAACGAGCGCAACCCUUGUUGCCAGUUACAAGUGUCUGGCGAGACUGCCGGCAUAUAACCGGAGGAAGGUGGGGAUGACGUCAAGUCAGCAUGGCCUUUAUGUCCAGGGCUACACACACGCUACAAUGGUCGGUACAGAGGGGAGCGAAGCCGCGAGGUGGAGCGAAUCCCAAAAGCCGAUCUCA
Molecule: ribosomal RNA, 1214 nt
Filed under: metagenome
Description: bacterial SSU rRNA
Rfam family: Bacterial small subunit ribosomal RNA
Source: RNAcentral